Molecule: ribosomal RNA, 372 nt
Filed under: uncultured Hydrogenophaga sp.
Lineage: Bacteria; Pseudomonadati; Pseudomonadota; Betaproteobacteria; Burkholderiales; Comamonadaceae
Description: bacterial SSU rRNA
Rfam family: Bacterial small subunit ribosomal RNA
Source: RNAcentral
AGCUCAUGACUGGGUAUAAAGUGUGCGCAGGCGGUUUUGUAAGACAGGCGUGAAAUCCCCGGGCUUAACCUGGGAAUUGCGCUUGUGACUGCAAGGCUGGAGUGCGGCAGAGGGGGAUGGAAUUCCGCGUGUAGCAGUGAAAUGCGUAGAUAUGCGGAGGAACACCGAUGGCGAAGGCAAUCCCCUGGGCCUGCACUGACGCUCAUGCACGAAAGCGUGGGGAGCAAACAGGAUUAGAUACCCUGGUAGUCCACGCCCUAAACGAUGUCAACUGGUUGUUGGGUCUCUUCUGACUCAGUAACGAAGCUAACGCGUGAAGUUGACCGCCUGGGGAGUACGGCCGCAAGGUUGAAACUCAAAAAAAUUAGACGG